GACGAACGCUGGCGGCGUGCUUAACACAUGCAAGUCGAGCGGUAAGGCCCUUUCGGGGGUACACGAGCGGCGAACGGGUGAGUAACACGUGGGUGACCUGCCCUCAGCUCUGGGAUAAGCCUGGGAAACCGGGUCUAAUACCGGAUAUGACUCCAUGACGCAUGUUGUGGGGUGAAAGCCUUGUGCGGCUGAGGAUGGGCCCGCGGCCUAUCAGCUUGUUGGUGGGGUGAUGGCCUACCAAGGCGACGACGGUAGCCGGCCUGAGAGGGCGACCGGCCACACUGGGACUGAGACACGGCCCAGACUCCUACGGGAGGCAGCAGUGGGGAAUCUUGCGCAAUGGGCGAAAGCCUGACGCAGCGACGCCGCGUGAGGGAUGACGGCCUCGGUUGUAA
RNAcentral lists this ribosomal RNA (395 nucleotides) under uncultured bacterium. RNAcentral's name for it is "bacterial SSU rRNA". It matches the Rfam family "Bacterial small subunit ribosomal RNA", at positions 28 to 428 of the family's 1533-position model. The record is from RNAcentral.